GAUGAACGCUGGCGGCGUGCCUAAUACAUGCAAGUCGAGCGAACAGACGAGGAGCUUGCUCCUCUGACGUUAGCGGCGGACGGGUGAGUAACACGUGGAUAACCUACCUAUAAGACUGGGAUAACUUCGGGACACCGGAGCUAAUACCGGAUAAUAUAUUGAACCGCAUGGUUCAAUAGUGAAAGACGGUUUUGCUGUCACUUAUAGAUGGAUCCGCGCCGCAUUAGCUAGUUGGUAAGGUAACGGCUUACCAAGGCAGCGAUGCGUAGCCGACCUGAGAGGGUGAUCGGCCACACUGGAACUGAGACACAGUCCAGACUCCGACGGGAGGCAGCAGUAGGGAAUCUUCCGCGAUGGGCGAAAGCCUGACAGAGCAACGCCGCGUGAGUGAUGAAGGUCUUCGGAUCUUAAAACUCUGUUAUUAGGGAAGAACAAAUGUGUAAGUAACUAUGCACGUCUUGACGGUACCUAAUCAGAAAGCCACGGCUAACUACGUG
RNAcentral lists this ribosomal RNA (497 nucleotides) under uncultured bacterium. RNAcentral's name for it is "partial 16S ribosomal RNA". It matches the Rfam family "Bacterial small subunit ribosomal RNA", at positions 28 to 507 of the family's 1533-position model. The record is from RNAcentral.